GUUUGCCAGGAGAUGAAUGGAAGUCCCCAGUGGAUUUGCUAGGAUCCUUGGUGCAUCACUUUCCCCAUCCCGCAAAAUUCCAUCUGGUCUCUCUUUAUUGUCAAUCUUGUACUUUAUAGUUCCGUAGCAGAAAAUUGCUUCGAUCUUCAAACCUUUUCAGUGCUUUUCAUCAGAAUGCUCUUUACACCUGAUUGCAGCUUUUGGCUGCUUCAGAGAU
Molecule: unclassified non-coding RNA, 217 nt
Filed under: Hevea brasiliensis (rubber tree)
Lineage: Eukaryota; Viridiplantae; Streptophyta; Magnoliopsida; Malpighiales; Euphorbiaceae
Source: RNAcentral